ACCGUCAAUGUUCCUUCCUCCUCAGCUCUAACUAUUGUUCUGAGUGGCUAAAAAUGGAAGAAAAAGUAAAACUGAAGUGGAUUUGGAACAUUCCGUGACAUACAAGUUCAUUUCAAACAAAC
RNAcentral lists this small nucleolar RNA (122 nucleotides) under Echinops telfairi (small Madagascar hedgehog). Its description in RNAcentral is "Small nucleolar RNA SNORA61 (ENSETEG00000025267.1)". The record is from RNAcentral. Lineage: Eukaryota; Metazoa; Chordata; Mammalia; Afrosoricida; Tenrecidae.